GGAGAGGUGCUGGAGCGGCCGAACAGGCGCGCCUGGAAAGCGCGUGCCCUGGUAACGGGGCCGUGGGUUCAAAUCCCACCCUCUCCGCCA
Molecule: transfer RNA, 90 nt
Filed under: Candidatus Fraserbacteria bacterium
Lineage: Bacteria; Candidatus Fraseribacteriota
Also listed under: 1 other name
Description: tRNA-Ser
Rfam family: tRNA
About the family: Transfer RNA (tRNA) molecules are approximately 80 nucleotides in length.
Source: RNAcentral